Molecule: ribosomal RNA, 370 nt
Filed under: uncultured organism
Description: partial 16S ribosomal RNA
Rfam family: Bacterial small subunit ribosomal RNA
Source: RNAcentral
GUAGGUGGCAAGCGUUGUCCGGAAUUAUUGGGCGUAAAGCGCGCGCAGGCGGUUCUUUAAGUCUGAUGUGAAAGCCCACGGCUCAACCGUGGAGGGUCAUUGGAAACUGGAGAACUUGAGUACAGAAGAGGAAAGCGGAAUUCCACGUGUAGCGGUGAAAUGCGUAGAGAUGUGGAGGAACACCAGUGGCGAAGGCGGCUUUCUGGUCUGUAACUGACGCUGAGGCGCGAAAGCGUGGGGAGCAAACAGGAUUAGAUACCCUGGCAGUCCACGCCGUAAACGAUGAGUGCUAAGUGUUAGGGGGUUUCCGCCCCUUAGUGCUGCAGCUAACGCAUUAAGCACUCCGCCUGGGAGUACGGCCGCAAGGCUG